RNAcentral lists this ribosomal RNA (564 nucleotides) under uncultured bacterium. RNAcentral's name for it is "bacterial SSU rRNA". It matches the Rfam family "Bacterial small subunit ribosomal RNA", at positions 10 to 573 of the family's 1533-position model. The record is from RNAcentral.
AGUUUGAUCCUGGCUCAGAUUGAACGCUGGCGGUAUGCCUUACACAUGCAAGUCGAACGGUAGAGGAGCAAUCCUCGAGAGUGGCGAACGGGUGAGUAAUACAUCGGAACGUGCCCAGUCGUGGGGGAUAACGUAGCGAAAGCUACGCUAACACCGCAUACGACCCGAGGGUGAAAGCGGGGGACUCGCAAGAGCCUCGCGCGAUUGGAGCGGCCGAUGGCAGAUUAGGUAGUUGGUGGGGUAAAGGCCCACCAAGCCUGCGAUCUGUAGCUGGUCUGAGAGGACGACCAGCCACACUGGGACUGAGACACGGCCCAGACUCCUACGGGAGGCAGCAGUGGGGAAUUUUGGACAAUGGGCGAAAGCCUGAUCCAGCCAUACCGCGUGCGGGAAGAAGGCCUUCGGGUUGUAAACCGCUUUUGUCAGGGAAGAAAUACUUCGGGCUAAUACCCUGGGGUGAUGACGGUACCUGAAGAAUGAGCACCGGCUAACUACGUGCCAGCAGCCGCGGUAAUACGUAGGGUGCAAGCGUUAAUCGGAAUUACUGGGCGUAAAGCGUGCGCA